GUCAAGAUAAGCUAAGUUUAAGCUUUUGGGUUCAUACCCCAAAUAUGGAUUCCCUUUUGACA
Molecule: transfer RNA, 62 nt
Filed under: Lepidodermella squamata
Lineage: Eukaryota; Metazoa; Gastrotricha; Chaetonotida; Chaetonotidae
Also listed under: 1 other name
Description: tRNA-Met
Source: RNAcentral